AUACGGAGGGUGCAAACGUUGCUCGGAAUCAUUGGGCGUAAAGCACACGUAGGCGGCCAAGUAAGUUGGAUGUGAAAGCCCAGGGCUCAACCCUGGAAGUGCAUCCAAAACUGCAUGGCUUGAGUGCCGGAGGGGCUCAGAGAAUUCCCGGUGUAGAGGUGAAAUUCGUAGAUAUCGGGAGGAAUACCAGUGGCGAAGGCGCUGGGCUGGACGGUAACUGACGCUGAGGUGUGAAAGCGUGGGGAGCAAACAGGAUUAGAUACCCUAGUAGUCC
This 274-nucleotide ribosomal RNA is filed under the name uncultured bacterium. Its description in RNAcentral is "partial 16S ribosomal RNA". It matches the Rfam family "Bacterial small subunit ribosomal RNA", at positions 523 to 796 of the family's 1533-position model. The record is from RNAcentral.